GUGAAGACAAGGUCAUUCUGGAUGUUGAUGGGGACAAGAUUAUCCCCGGACGUUGGCGAGAGCAAGGGGAUCUCUGCAUGUUUGGUGAAUGUUGAUGGGGACGAGGUCAUCUCUGCAUGUGGGUGGGGACAAGGUCAUCCUGGAUGUUGAUUGGGACAAGGUUAUCUCUGCUUGUUAGUGGGGACAAGGUCAUCCCUGGGUGCUUAUCGGGACAAGGUCAGUCCUGUAUGUUGAUGAGGACAAGAUUAUCCCCGGACGUUGGUGGGGACAAGGUGAUCUCUGCAUGUUUGGUGAAUGUUGAUGGGGACGAGGUCACCUCCACAUGUGGGUGGGGACAAAGUC
This 342-nucleotide long non-coding RNA is filed under the name Homo sapiens (human). RNAcentral describes it as "HSALNT0406780". Lineage: Eukaryota; Metazoa; Chordata; Mammalia; Primates; Hominidae. The record is from RNAcentral.